GUGCUUGCUUCGGCAGCACAUGUACUAAAAUGGGAACGACACAGAUUAGCAUGGCCCCUGCGCAAGGACGACGUGCAAAUUCGUGACGCAUUCCAUAUCUAA
RNAcentral lists this small nuclear RNA (102 nucleotides) under Chinchilla lanigera (long-tailed chinchilla). The record is from RNAcentral. Lineage: Eukaryota; Metazoa; Chordata; Mammalia; Rodentia; Chinchillidae.